Molecule: ribosomal RNA, 459 nt
Filed under: uncultured bacterium
Lineage: Bacteria
Description: partial 16S ribosomal RNA
Rfam family: Bacterial small subunit ribosomal RNA
Source: RNAcentral
CCUACGGGGGGCUGCAGUGAGGAAUAUUGGUCAAUGGCCGGAAGGCUGAACCAGCCAAGCCGCGUGAAGGACGAAGGUGCCAAGCAUUGUAAACUUCUUUUGUCAAGGGACAAAAUCAGGCUCGAGAGCCUGACCGUGGGUACUUGAAGAAAAAGCAUCGGCUAACUCCGUGCCAGCAGCCGCGGUAAUACGGAGGAUGCGAGCGUUAUCCGGAUUUAUUGGGUUUAAAGGGUGCGUAGGCGGACUGUUAAGUCAGCGGUAAAAGCCCGGGGCUCAACCCCGGCGAGCCGUUGAGACUGGCUGUCUUGAGAUGUCGAGAGGUAUGCGGAAUGCGCAGUGUAGCGGUGAAAUGCUUAGAUAUUGCGCAGAACUCCGAUUGCGAAGGCAGCAUACCGGCGGCGAUCUGACGCUGAGGCACGAAAGCGUGGGUAUCGAACAGGAUUAGAUACCCGUGUAGUC